GCUCCUAGAGAUCUGGUGGUGAGAUUUCGUAACAGCGUAUUCAAGCAAACAGUGCUUUCAGCCCUCAAAGGGAAUACUCCCUACUCCUUUGAAAAUACCACUCUCUCAUUCUAUGUAGACCUCUCAGGAGACACCCUGCAGUGGAGAAGACACAUGCAACCACUCACCACUCUCCUCAGAAACCACAGCAUACAAUAUAUGUGGCGUUCACCGAGAGCACUAAAAGUCGUGCAUGUGGAGUCCACCCACUCUAUCUCUGACCUCCAAGAAGCACCAGCACUCAUGAGCCAGCUGGGCCUUCCAGCAGAUUCCUUGCUUCCACCUGGACCCAGAG
This is a non-coding RNA of Pelobates cultripes (western spadefoot toad), 334 nucleotides long. The record is from the annotation of a GenBank genome assembly. NCBI's taxonomy places the organism in Eukaryota, Metazoa, Chordata, Amphibia, Anura, Pelobatidae.